GUCUACGGCCAUGCCACCCUGAACAAGCCCGAUCCCGUCUGAUCUCGGAAGCUAAGCAGGGUCGGGCCUGGUUAGUACUUGGAUGGGAGACCACCUAGGAAGACCAGGUGCUAUAGGCG
This 119-nucleotide ribosomal RNA is filed under the name Pteropus alecto (black flying fox). The record is from RNAcentral. Lineage: Eukaryota; Metazoa; Chordata; Mammalia; Chiroptera; Pteropodidae.